UGGGGAAUAUUGCACAAUGGAGGAAACUCUGAUGCAGCGACGCCGCGUGAGUGAAGAAGUAAUUCGUUAUGUAAAGCUCUAUCAGCAGGGAAGAUAGUGACGGUACCUGACUAAGAAGCUCCGGCUAAAUACGUGCCAGCAGCCGCGGUAAUACGUAUGGAGCAAGCGUUAAUCGGAAUAACUGGGCGUAAAGGGCAUGCAGGCGGUUAUACAAGUAGGAUGUGAAAGCCUGGGGCUCAACCUCAGAACUGCAUUCUAAACUGUGUGACUAGAGUAUUGCAGGGGGAGACGGAAUUUCAGGUGUAGCGGUGGAAUGCGUAGAUAUCUGAAAGAACACCAAAGGCGAAGGCAGUCUCCUGGGCAAAUACUGACGCUCAUAUG
RNAcentral lists this ribosomal RNA (381 nucleotides) under uncultured Succinivibrio sp. RNAcentral's name for it is "bacterial SSU rRNA". It matches the Rfam family "Bacterial small subunit ribosomal RNA", at positions 355 to 753 of the family's 1533-position model. Lineage: Bacteria; Pseudomonadati; Pseudomonadota; Gammaproteobacteria; Aeromonadales; Succinivibrionaceae. The record is from RNAcentral.